Molecule: long non-coding RNA, 375 nt
Filed under: Ananas comosus (pineapple)
Lineage: Eukaryota; Viridiplantae; Streptophyta; Magnoliopsida; Poales; Bromeliaceae
Description: long non-coding RNA (ACOM_LNC032680)
Source: RNAcentral
AGAAAUUUUAAUAUUUCAGUUUCGACCCCGUUUGGUCAUCGAAAACUGUACCGAACUGUAAUCUUUAUCAGAUAACUGUCGGAUUUUAUUUUCCACCUUCCGGGUCUCAGAAUGGCAUGAAACUUUAAAUCUAGCCUAAUAAAAAUAAUUCUGACUUAUCCCCCAGUUUUUAUAAUUCUCUGACACUGUGCAUUUUCUGCUAAUUUAUCUGUCCCGUUUCUAGCAGAAAAUUCUAAAUCUUCUGUUUUCAUUCCGAUUUCAGCACAAAUCAUUUCUGACUUAUGUUUUACUUCUCUAAAUCCAAUAAAAAUAGUAUCUCACACUAUUUUUAUUUAUUUUUAUUUUUAUACCAAAAUCUGGUAUGUUACAGUUUAU